Molecule: ribosomal RNA, 441 nt
Filed under: uncultured bacterium
Lineage: Bacteria
Description: partial 16S ribosomal RNA
Rfam family: Bacterial small subunit ribosomal RNA
Source: RNAcentral
CCUACGGGUGGCAGCAGUGGGGAAUAUUGCACAAUGGUGGAAACCCUGAUGCAGCGACGCCGCGUGAGCGAGGAAGUAUUUCGCUCUGUAAAGCUCUAUCAGCAGGGACGAAAAAAGACGGUACCUGACUAAGAAGCCCCGGCUAACUACGAGCCAGCAGCCGCGGUAAUACGUAGGGGGCAAGCGUUAUCCGGAUUUACUGGGGGUAAAGGGAGCGUAGACGGCAAGGAAAGCCAGAAGUGAAAGGGCAGGGCUAAACCCUGUACAUGCUUUUGGAAGUGUGGUGCUGGAGUGCAGGAGAGGUAAGUGGAAUUCCUAGUGUAGCGGUGAAAUGCGUAGAUAUUAGGAGGAACACCAGUGGCGAAGGCGGAUUAUUGGACUGUAACUGACGUUGAGGCUCGAAAGCGUGGGGAGCAAACAGGAUUAGAUACCCGAGUAGUC